GGAUAGCCCGGCGAAAGUCGGAUUAAUACCCCAUAAAACAGGGGUCCCGCAUGGGAAUAUUUGUUAAAGAUUCAUCGCUGAUAGAUAGGCAUGCGUUCCAUUAGGCAGUUGGCGGGGUAACGGCCCACCAAACCGACGAUGGAUAGGGGUUCUGAGAGGAAGGUCCCCCACAUUGGUACUGAGACACGGACCAAACUCCUACGGGAGGCAGCAGCGAGGAAUAUUGGUCAAUGGCCGAGAGGCUGAACCAGCCAAGUCGCGUGAAGGAAGAAGGAUCUAUGGUUUGUAAACUUCUUUUAUAGGGGAAUAAAGUGGAGGACGUGUCCUUUUUUGUAUGUACCCUAUGAAUAAGCAUCGGCUAACUCCGUGCCAGCAGCCGCGGUAAUACGGAGGAUGCGAGCGUUAUCCGGAUUUAUUGGGUUUAAAGGGUGCGUAGGUGGUGAUUUAAGUCAGCGGUGAAAGUUUGUGGCUCAACCAUAAAAUUGCCGUUGAAACUGGGUUACUUGAGUGUGUUUGAGGUAGGCGGAAUGCGUGGUGUAGCGGUGAAAUGCAUAGAUAUCACGCAGAACUCCGAUUGCGAAGGCAGCUUACUAAACCAUAACUGACACUGAAGCACGAAAGCGUGGGGAUCAAACAGGAUUAGAUACCCUGGUAGUCCACGCAGUAAACGAUGAUUACUAGGAGUUUGCGAUACAAUGUAAGCUCUACAG
RNAcentral lists this ribosomal RNA (710 nucleotides) under uncultured bacterium. Its description in RNAcentral is "bacterial SSU rRNA". It matches the Rfam family "Bacterial small subunit ribosomal RNA", at positions 141 to 851 of the family's 1533-position model. The record is from RNAcentral.